AGAUGACUCUUAUACAUCAAAUGGCAAAGAUACUAUUUAGGACUAUCUCUAUAAACGAUAUAUGUCCUAAAUAGUGAAUCCAUGGACAAUGGAUCGAUUGAAGAAGUAAUCUAAUGAAGUUAGACUACAUAGACCUUCUUCACAUAACCAUCAUGUCCAAAAGGUUCAUGGUCAUAGGAUUGUCGGAGGGAUACUGAUAAUGCAUAGACCGGUACAUACUAUGUCCGCUUCAAUUAGAAGGAUGGAAAGUCUCAUCCCAUUCGUGUAGUGACACUAAGACAAGUAUGUAGGUGCUCAUUAAGGGAAUGAGUUCACUAAACACAAUCAAACGAGAGUACUUGCAUGGAGGUCUACUCACAUGUCAAGCAAGUAACUCUAAUGGUUGGAAUAAUGUAAGUAGUCCUUUGACUUGAGGCAUCAUCGUUAUCUUAUGGUUAAGUACUUGAUCUUUGAUUAUGUCAAAGUCACUCCAUCCGCGGG
This 480-nucleotide long non-coding RNA is filed under the name Malus domestica (apple). RNAcentral describes it as "long non-coding RNA (MDOM_LNC008595)". Lineage: Eukaryota; Viridiplantae; Streptophyta; Magnoliopsida; Rosales; Rosaceae. The record is from RNAcentral.